Molecule: ribosomal RNA, 391 nt
Filed under: uncultured bacterium
Lineage: Bacteria
Description: bacterial SSU rRNA
Rfam family: Bacterial small subunit ribosomal RNA
Source: RNAcentral
AUUGAACGCUGGCGGAAUGCUUUACACAUGCAAGUCGAACGGUAGAGGGGGCGAACCCCUUCGAGAGUGGCGAACGGGUGGAGUAAUAUAUCGGAACGUGCCCAGUCGUGGGGGAGUAACGUAGCGAAAGUUACGCUAAUACCGCAUACGAUCUAAGGAUGAAAGCGGGGGACCGGUAAGGCCUCGCGCGAUUAGAGCGGCCGAUAUCUGAUUAGCUUGUUGGUGGGGUAAAAGCCCACCAAGGCGACGAUCAGUAGCUGGUCUGAGAGGACGAUCAGCCACACUGGGACUGAGACACGGCCCAGACUCCUACGGGAGGCAGCAGUGGGGGAAUUUUGGACAAUGGGGGGCGAACCCCUGAUCCAGCAAUGCCGCGUGUGUGAAGAAGGCC